GAUGAACGCUGACAGAAUGCUUAACACAUGCAAGUCAACUUGAACUUCGGUUUGGGUGGCGGACGGGUGAGUAACGCGUAAAGAACUUGCCUCACAGAUAGGGACAACAUUUGGAAACGAAUGCUAAUACCUGAUAUUAUGAUUUUAGGGCAUCCUAGGAUUAUGAAAGCUAUAUGCGCUGUGAGAGAGCUUUGCGUCCCAUUAGCUAGUUGGAGAGGUAACGGCUCACCAAGGCGAUGAUGGGUAGCCGGCCUGAGAGGGUGAUCGGCCACAAGGGGACUGAGAACCGGCCCUUACUCCUUCGGGAGGCAGCCGUGGGGAAUAUUGGACAAUGGACCAAGAGGUUGAUCCAGCAAUUCUGUGUGCAAGAUGAAGUUUUUCGGAAUGUAAAGUGCUUUCAGUUGGGAAGAAAAAAAUGACGGUACCAACAGAAGAAGUGACGGCUAAAUACGUG
RNAcentral lists this ribosomal RNA (454 nucleotides) under uncultured bacterium. Its description in RNAcentral is "partial 16S ribosomal RNA". It matches the Rfam family "Bacterial small subunit ribosomal RNA", at positions 28 to 507 of the family's 1533-position model. The record is from RNAcentral.